AGGCAGCCCCCACAGCGACUCAAACACUGACACUCUCUGUACAAAAACCACACCUUCACUGUCUCCCAGUCACCUUCCUGUCUCUGUCUUUCUCUCGCUCAAUUCUCAACGUCACACUUCCUCUGACUGCCUCCCUGACUGAACAGCAUUGAAUAAGCAGAGACUAACUACUGGAGCCUAGCGUGUGACUCAAAGCACCAUGUUCCUAUCAAUCUGUGUGCUGCUGCUGUUGGUCGACAGUGUGGAUCCUCUGUCUAUCCAGCAGUCUCCUGCAUUCUUAUCUGCAAAAGCUGGAGCUUCAAUGAAACUAAGCUGUGAAGUUGCAGACAUUGGCUCUGGAGCUCUAUAUCUCUACUGGUACAGACAGAAUCUUCACAAGGAACUCCAGCUACUGUUUUAUUCUGUGACUACUGGCAGUGUAGACCCCUCUACCCUGGGCCAGUUCACUGCUUCUAGACCCGACAGCUCCCAUUUCUUUCUGGAGUCCACAGGUGUUGCAGUGAAUGACUCCGCUGUGUAUUACUGUGCAGGCAGCCCCCACAGCGACUCAAACACUGACACUCUCUGUACAAAAACCACACCUUCACUGUCUCCCAGUCACCUUCCUGUCUCUGUCUUUCUCUCGCUCAAUUCUCAACGUCACACUUCCUCUGACUGCCUCCCUGACUGAACAGCAUUGAAUAAGCAGAGACUAACUACUGGAGCCUAGCGUGUGACUCAAAGCACCAUGUUCCUAUUAAUCUGUGUGCU
Non-coding RNA from Polyodon spathula (Mississippi paddlefish), 750 nucleotides. The record is from the annotation of a RefSeq genome assembly. Lineage: Eukaryota; Metazoa; Chordata; Actinopteri; Acipenseriformes; Polyodontidae.